UACGUAGGGUGCGAGCGUUGUCCGGAAUUACUGGGCGUAAAGAGCUCGUAGGUGGUUUGUCGCGUUGGUUGUGAAAACCGGGGGCUUAACCCUCGGCGUGCGGGCGAUACGGGCAGGCUUGAGUGCUGCAGGGGAGACUGGAAUUCCUGGUGUAGCGGUGGAAUGCGCAGAUAUCAGGAGGAACACCGGUGGCGAAGGCGGGUCUCUGGGCAGUAACUGACGCUGAGGAGCGAAAGCGUGGGGAGCGAACAGG
This 253-nucleotide ribosomal RNA is filed under the name uncultured bacterium. RNAcentral's name for it is "partial 16S ribosomal RNA". It matches the Rfam family "Bacterial small subunit ribosomal RNA", at positions 524 to 776 of the family's 1533-position model. The record is from RNAcentral.